CCUACGGGAGUCAGCAGUGGGGAAUAUUGCACAAUGGGCGAAACCCUGAUGCAGCGACGCCGCGUGAGUGAAGAAGUAUUUCGGUAUGUAAAGCUCUAUCAGCAGGGAAGAAAAUACUGGUACCUGCUUAAUAAUCACCGGCUAACUACGUACCAGCAGCCGCCGCAAUCCGGAGGGGGCAGCCGUUAUCCGGAUUUAUUGGGUGUAAAGGGUGCGUAGUCGGCAGUACAGGUCGGGAGUGAAAGGCUGGGGCUUAACCCCAGGACUGCUGUGGAAACUGUUAGGCUACAGUGCAGGAGAGGUAAGUGGAAUUCCUAGUGUAGCGGUGAAAUGCGUAGAUAUGAGGAAGAACACCAGUGGCGAAGGCGGCUUACUGGACUGUAACUGACGCUGAGGCACGAAAGCGUGGGGAGCGAACAGGAUUAGAUACCCCUGUAGUC
Molecule: ribosomal RNA, 440 nt
Filed under: uncultured bacterium
Lineage: Bacteria
Description: partial 16S ribosomal RNA
Rfam family: Bacterial small subunit ribosomal RNA
Source: RNAcentral